RNAcentral lists this long non-coding RNA (207 nucleotides) under Gossypium raimondii (Peruvian cotton). RNAcentral describes it as "long non-coding RNA (GRAI_LNC000635)". Lineage: Eukaryota; Viridiplantae; Streptophyta; Magnoliopsida; Malvales; Malvaceae. The record is from RNAcentral.
UCUCUCUCCCAUGUAAACCACUGACCAGAAAAACCCAAAUCGGCAAGCUUGCAAUCCUCUAAUACCAUCCGAAAAGUCAACAUAUUAUUCUCAUUUCAAACACGUGCCCCUCUCUUCUUGAAAAAGAACACUAUCUCAUUAAAAUCCCUUAUAACUAACCAUGACAACAAGCUAUUACCAUUUAACUGAUAAAUCAAAUCCCAUGAC